Molecule: long non-coding RNA, 4246 nt
Organism: Heterocephalus glaber (naked mole-rat)
Lineage: Eukaryota; Metazoa; Chordata; Mammalia; Rodentia; Bathyergidae
Source: RefSeq, a predicted model, not a curated record
AGUAUACUGUAAACUUUUACAAUUCUCCUUUAGAAAAAAAAUAGAUUAAAAGCUUUCCAGAUUUUUUAAUUUCCAAAAAUAUUUUUCUAUUUUAAAUAAUUAAAGUCAGAAACAAUUCUGUCUAUAACCAUAGCAGAAGUAAUGACUUGUGAAAGCUAGAUGUCAUUUAUUCAGUUGGCGUUUAUUUGUUGGCUGUCAUACGGAAGGCAUCCAGGUAGAAUAGAAGUGUGGAGGAUACAAAGAUGAUAAAGACCUUGUCUUGGCUCCAAGGAAGGGGGCAUCAACAGAAGAGGUAAGACACAGAUAGGAGGGCACAGAUGCCUAGGCUGAGCUGCCCUCAUGGCAGGUGAGUUAUGUAACCUGGUGUGUUACGGGUCAGUGGCCUGGACAUGACUGGAAGCUUAUCAGAAAGGAGGCUGCAGACCUCCCCUGCCCUCCUCAAUCAGCCAUCAUUUAAACACACCCGCAGCGUUCCAUGUGGGCAUUACAGUCCAAGAAGCAUGCUGUAUGAUGCAUUUCAAUCUUAAGGUGUUUAGUGUGUUAAUGCAGCUUGAGGGGCAUAAUGAGACAAAGGUCAGAGGCUGAACUAUAUACUCAUUGGCGAUAAGAUUUUAUAUGGAUGUAUUCCAUCCCUGUAUUUCAUUCUCAUUUCUGCAGCUUCACAAUUUGCAUCUAGUCAGUUGAUCUGAAUUUAUCAAAUUUAAGGGAAUUACUCAAGCUAACACACCAAAGACUGAUGUGCAAACCUGAGUGAUCUUUGGUUUAAGUAGGGAUGUACUGACACGUUGACCAGAAAUCUGAUUUAGGCCAUGACCAUACUGUUUUAUGAAUAUUAAAUUUGGGGGGGAGAGUGAGUUUAUUUUUCAGAAGUUUCUUGAUGACCAGGGAAUCAUACACAGAAAGAGGAUAGUUUUGAAGUACUAUUUAUUCAUUACCCUGUGAGUCCAGAAAGGUCAGGAGCCAUUUCAGAUCUGUGUCUUUCAGAGUGCUUGCUUAGCACACAGUGGGUACUCAGUAUUUGUUGAAUAUAGAUCAUUUGAAUUAAUCAAAGACAGCUUGUUUUAAAGCAUAUGCUCAGGUUCGUUGGCUUUCCACUGACCAAAUCAAAGGAGGCCAAAUAUUUGGGUAAAAAGGAAAAACGAUUUAUUUAAAGCUAGCUCGGAGGAGGUGGAGGGGACUAUUUGCCUCAAAUCACCUCUCACUGUUUCCAGGUGGGCAAGGGUCUCUUAUAGUAAGGAACAGGGGAUGGGGAACACAAGAGAUAAUGUAUAUAUUUACACUUUUUACAUGUGCUUUAUCACUGCCAGCCAUGUGUAGUUUAUUGUCCCAUUCCAGUGGAAAGGAAAUGGCUCCAGCCCUCCUGGUGUUGGCAUCUACGACCCAGGAGAUGGAAAAGCUGGUUAGGCACUGGGCCUCCAAAAGCCACUUGUCUCUUUAAAAAAAAUUCCAUUUUGCAGUUCCUGGUUAUAUUACUAGCUACUUCCCAAAAUCUAUAUUUAUAGGUACAAAAAACUAGCUUUAGGGCACUCCCCCACGCACAGGUAGGCUAUGAUGUGUAUGACCCAACAAACAUUUUCUUCACACUACCAGGUAUUUACUAGCAUGUCUUUAAAAAUAACUACAAGCUAGGGCUGGGGAUUUAGCUCAGUGGUGCUGCCUGCCUCGCAAGCUCAAGGUGCCAAGUUCGAUCCCUGGUACCAAAAAAAUAAAACAAAAACAACUACAAGCUCAGGAUGAUGGCUCAGGCCUAUGUUCCCAGCAUUAUGGGAGGAUGAGACAGGAGGAUUGCAAAUUUGAGCCCAGCAAUUUAUCAAGACCCUGACUCAAAAUAAAAAAAGGGCUGGGAAUGUAGCUCAGUGCAGUGGCCCUGGGUUAAAUCCCCAGUAUCAGCAACAAAACAAAGCAAACCUGCAAAAAACUUCUUUGGUGGAAUAUACAUCUUUUAAGUAGUUCAUCUUUAAUCUUGAGAUUUAAGAUGUAAAGGAAUAAGUUUCUGGGUGUGAUGAACUUUCAUACAUGUAUUGAUAAUAUUGUAGGAAAAGUUAAAUAUAAAAACUAUUAGAGAGGCUAUCAUGGUCUAGAUAGAAAACUUUUCUGUAUGACUAAGUACAUUGAAGUUGUGCUUAUCUAUAGCAUUUUUAUGCUGUAAGAGUAUAAUUUAUUUUUUUCCUCAAGGCCUCAUGCAUGCUAGGCAAGUGUUCUGCCACUGGGCUACGUGCACAGCCCCUUUUAAAUUUUUCUUCAAUUUUGAGACAGGGCUUUGCCAAGUUACCCAGGCUGGCCUUGAAUUUUAGAUCCUCUUGCCUCAGCUUUCCCAGAAGCUGGGGCUAUAGGAGCACACACAGCUCUCCCCGAGUUAGAUCAACAUUAACAUCUAUUUAGAGACUAAACGAAGAAGAGAACUAACUCGCUGAAAAUUAAUUUACUUUUUCUAGUUCACCACUUGUAAAUAUUUGGAGAAAAACGAGACUGAAAUUCAUCUGUCUACUAAUUUAACUGAAUACUACUAAUUUAGAAUUUGGACACUGCCUUUUUUUUUUUCUUCUUGUCCUGGUACUGGGAAUUGAACCUAGGACCUUCACAUUAAGCUACAUCUCCAGCCCUUUUUAAAUAUGUAAAGACAACUUAAUAUUUAAGUUGCCCAGGCUGAGCUUGAACUUGCAAUCCCCCUGCUUCAGUCUCCCAGAGUGCUGUGAUUACAUGUAUGGACUGCCUUGCCCCAGCUUGGCCUCUGCUUUUUUCAGGUUUUACUUAAACGUGUCACUUGAUUUCUCUGAACUUCAGUUCAAAGAAUUUUCAGACAAGAUGCUAAGGAGAUGCUGAUAUAGUGAUAUUAUAGUACUGUGAUAUUUGCAGUUAUACAAUAAAUGGCAGUUUGGAAGCCACCGGAUUUAUACAGACACCCUUCACGUUAUAGGCCCCUUUCAUUCUUUCUCAUAGUGUUAUGACUUGUGUCUUGAUGUCCUCCCAAAGCCUCAUGCAGUGGUGGGUGAAUUGAUUUCUAGAAUUGAUUCUUGGUGCAAUGCUAGGCCCCAGGGCACUAGGAUUGAGGGUAUGAGUGCUACCCACCCCAAAUAAUCUGCAUAAAAGGGGCAGAAAGAUGCUGUUGGGGGCCCCUCCUCUUUUCCCAUGUUGCCUUUGCUACCUUGUGGGUGCCAAGAACUGUUUCUCCUCUGUGGUGCACCUCUGCCAUGUGCCACUCUGCCUUAGAGCCAGCGAUUAUGGACUGAAACCUCUACAAACUGUGAGCUACAUAAACCCUUUCCCCUUUAACUGUGGGUGUGAGGUAUUUUGUCUCAACAAGCAGAGAAAUGUAGCUAACACACAUAGUUAUUUGGUUUUUUCCCCCAUCUCUCCAUGUUGUAAUUUAUUAUUACCAGCAUGUGUGUUGUUCUUCUGUCCUCUUCUGUUCCAAGAGGAUAGGGGUCAUGUUUUUCUUUGCUAUUAUAGACCUGUGUGAAUAAUGAUGGUAAUCCUGUGUAUGUUGAAUUUAGGUGUGUAGGGGACAUUUGGGUUGAGCUAUAAAAUACUGCAGGUACCAGUGUGUGCCUGGCACCUGAGUAUCUAUUAAAUGAAAAAUGUGAAAGGUCUAUGCGGGAUUGUUUAUGCACCCCUCUGUCGGCAGUCAUGAUCAUGGCAGCGGUUGAGAAUGCCCAGAGAAAAUGAGUAGAAGGAAAAAAAACUUUGAGUGGAAAGAGAAGGGGCUUAGAUCAGCAAUUUGGGUAAAAAUCUGUAACUAAUUGCAGGAAAAGAAGCAUAUAAAAAAAAAAGGAAGCAUAUGAAUGAGAUUGAAAAUACAAGUACAGAAUCGUGGGAAAACAAGAAAGUAAUGUCAUAAAAGCUGAGACUAGAAGAAAAUUUCAUAAAGAAAAUAUUCAAAAGUGUUGGAAAAGAAAAAAAUAAACCAAUAGUGAAAUACAUAAAGAACUUACUAUAAAUUAGAUCCUGGGGCCUAAAUGUUUUUCAUUUAUUAUGUUAUUUAAUCCUUAUAACAAACCAGCAAGGCAGGUAGAUACCUCUACUGUUGCCUUUCCACAAGUGAGGAGAUGGAGCCUUAGGUAAAGCAGACUUGCAGUUUCAGCUCCAACAGUGGAAGCUCCAUGAAGCCAGAGACUUUGUUUCAUUUACUACCAAAUUCCUGGAAUUUAGAAAAUGUGUAGGAUAUAGUAAUCACUCUGCAAAUACUGUUGAAUGAAUGGAUGAACCAAGAGUGACACAGUGAAUAAAGAAAUGUGAUGUCACCCUG